RNAcentral lists this long non-coding RNA (5040 nucleotides) under Diabrotica virgifera virgifera (western corn rootworm). Its description in RNAcentral is "uncharacterized LOC126879682". The record is from RNAcentral. Lineage: Eukaryota; Metazoa; Arthropoda; Insecta; Coleoptera; Chrysomelidae.
AUAUUUUUUUAAAUUUUGCAAGGAUCCCAAAUGGAUAAAUAUUUUUGUUGGUAAAGAGUUUUGAAAAAUAAUAGUUGUUUGUGCUUUCAUGAUGCAACUUGUAAAUUAAAAUGACAGUGACUUUGACUUUUGACAGCUGCGUCAAAAUUUUGUUUUGACAUACACUGUCCAACAAGUUCUUUUGUCAUUCUUUUGUUAUGUUAAAUUGAAGAUUUUUUUUGUAAUGUAAAAGAUUUGUAGAUAUUUUGUCCUGUAAAAUCAUUUCCUGUUAAAAGUUUUUUUGUUUGUUUAAAAAAAAACCACCGUAAAGUUUUAAAUAAAUGUUUGUGAAAGUGUAUCUAUCAUCUCAUUUCUGUAGCCUUUGGAAAAAUUUUAACAGAAAACUAAUGCAACUGUAUGAAAGUUUUAGUUCAGGAGAAAAGAAAGAAUAUGGCAUAGAAGCCAAUAAUAAGGAAAGAUGUUGUCCCAAUGUAACCCCAAAGAGGAAUCAAUGAUGAUUGUCCCCCCGAUUGGUACCCGUAAGUAAGAAAGUAUCCAGUAAGUACCCAUAGGUGAAAUAGAGGAUUUAUUUCAAACGGCGUCCCUUUUUGUUAAAUAGUAGAAAGAUCCUCUAGUCAGAGUAAGUACCCUUAUGUAUUUAGUUAUGGUAGUGUAGUCAUCUUAACACCCCUUCACCCUCCCUAACGAAUCUACGACCUAGCUCCCGCACAACAAAUGAGCUGCCGUCCCGCAACGAGGCUUUAUGUGUCUGCUUCUUCUUCUUUAGCCCCAUUCUUACCCCCCAGUAUCUCUAUAGAUAGUCUUUCCUUGCUCCCAUAUGAGCAGACAUUUAAACGCUUCAAAUGGCCCCGGCAACGUGGGGCCUGUACUUUUUUUGGCCUCCCUCAGACCCCAUUUGCAUGUUCCCACUACCAUGUCCUUUUAGCCUCCUUUCGGUCUCAUUUGUACUACAACUGUUAGGCAGUGCCCGUCUUGGGUAGCCGAUCUCAGUUUGUGGUGCAAGUGUUUCCGAUAACAUGGAAGCUCGACUCGUGUCAUGUUUUGUAUGCCCAUUGUUACAAGUCUAGCUUGUAGACAUGUUCAACUAGUAGUUAGCCUAUCUACUAGUCCCCAAUAUCUUUAGCCACCCCCCACUUAGUGUUACAUUUGUAACGUACACCCUGAAGUUUGACCCGAGUAAAUAUCGCCCAAGUCUUCCCAUGUAGUUUAGCCCAGAUUCCUCUUGUCUUGCCCCCAGAAACUGUUUCAUGUCUGUUAGUGCCCCCGAAACUGUUUCAGUCUGUUAGUCCCCAUGAAAGAGCCCAUUUUUGUAGUUUUUGUUGCAAAAGUUAAUAAUUUUUCCAAAGAGGUGUAAGUAUGUACACAUUUUGUUGUGAUGUUGAUUUGGUCGUGCUGUUGAUUGUAUAGGCAUGUACCAUUUCAUACAUCAUAGUGUAUUUAACUUGUAACCCCAUAUGUAUACUGGUAUUGUAUUGUAUUGUAAGUAUCGUAGAACAGAAUUGUAUGUUAUUGUAGCGUACUAACUGUAUUGUAUUGAUAUUGUACCCAUGAUGAAAGCAUUGAAUUGAUUUUUUUGAAAGUAUUGAUGAAAUAUAUAGACAAACAGUUGAAUAAAAAAGUAACGUAAAAUUUUUUUGAAAAUUUUGAUUAAAAGUAACGUUAAAGAUUUUGAAUAUUGAAUCCAAUUAUGAAGUAUAACAGUAUGUUGUAUUUUUUGCAUGUAUUCCUAUAGAUCAACAGUUUUUUUACAGAAUAAUCGUUUUUUGUGAUUUAUUGAUUUGGUCAUUUGAUUAGAUGUGUGAUGUUGUUGGUAUGGUCCGUGUAUGAGCUUAGCCCCGUAUAGUCUGUGUGAGAGUAGUCCCUUGUUUUUCCAGCGAAGCCUAUCUCUGUUGGUGUAUGUCAUGCCACAGGUUAGUUGGAGAAGUCAUCCCAUUGAGAAGUCAUCCCCUUGAGAAGUGGCCCCGUGAAGAAGUGAAGAGGGAAACCGUGGAGAGGCCCCCCACUUCUGUGUUUUUUUUUCAAGCAGCCAGGAGAAAAGCUGUCACUUUUAGAUUUGAAGAUAGCGUUCUCUGUCGACACUGUUUGAGAAUAACUGUCUUGAAGUGUAGAAGUUAGCCCCUGAAAAAGCCCCCCCCUUGUCUGUGUUGCCCCUUGUUUUUUUUUUUUUUUGACUAAUCUAUCUUUGUAGGUGUCAAAAGGAUGCCAGAGGUUAGUUAAAAAGAGCCCGUGAAGUAGUAGUUGAAGUCUCCCCCCCAGUGAAGUAGUUGAAGUCCCCUCGUGAAUGAAGUAUGUCUUUUUGUAUCUGACAUGUCACAAGUGUAAUACUCGUGAUGAAGGAAGUGUUGUUCAGCUAUCUGUGAACACUUUCAUUAGUAGUCGGAGCAAGAAAUGUCUUAUCCCGUGUGAGCUCAUAUAGGAACCAAAUUUCAAUAUUGUUUGUGUUUGUAAGCCCCUGAGUAUAUCUAGAAGUCAAAAAGUAUGUUGUUGUCUGUUUGUUUGUCUAUCCCUGUUUUGUCUGGAAGUUUUAGAGCCCAUUGUCUGUUGUCCCGUGUUGUCUAUUGUCCCGUGUUGUCUGUUGUCCCGUGUUGUCUAUUAGCCCGUGUUGUCUAUUAGCCCGUGUUGUCUAUUAGCCCGUGUUGUCUAUUAGCCCGUGUUGUCUGUUAGCCCGUGUCCGUGCUGGAGUUUGAUUUUUUUUGGCGAAUAGUUAGUUGACCUCUCUUCUCUUUGUUGAUUGAAAGUAGGCCAAGAGCAGAAGCUGUGACAAGGCUGGUGAGGUUAGGAUCUGGCCGCGUUGAGUACAGGUGAAGCUUGCUUUCGGUCGAUAAAUGGAAGCGGUUGUUCGUCAGAACUGUCAUACUUUCCAAUGUCCCUUUGGUCUUCCCCUUGCGUGUUGCUUUCAUCCCCUGUUUUGAAAAAGUAGCCCCCCGUUUUGAAAAAUAAAGUCCACCCCCAGUCUUGAGAAAUGAAAUGCCCCCAGUUUUGAAAAGUAAGUCUAUCCCCAGUUUUGAAAAGUAAAGCCCAACCCCCCUGUCUUGAAAAAUGAAGUCUAUCCCCUGUUUCGAAAAGUGAAGUGUAGCCCUGUUUUGAAAAUGAAGUCUUUCCCCAGCUUGUGAUUUGAAAAUGAGAGAGUUGUCUAGUGAACGUUCAUGAAAGGUUCUUAUGUCCUGGAUUGGACUGUUGAUUGAAAACGUAAUGAUGUAGUGUUCUCUAUAUCAUAUGUUGCGUUCAUUUCCCUUAGUCUUGUUUAAAAAGUUUGAUAUCCUGUUUGAACCCAGUAUACUAGUCUUUUUGGUCUUUUGUUGUUGUCACACAUACCCCCUCCCCCUUGUUAGUCUUGUUUUGAUUUUAGCCCUUGUUGUUGUCAUAUACCCCUUUGUCUAGCCCUGUCUUGUUUGAAUGAGUUGUUGAAGUAAGUUGUUGGUGAGAUUUUGUCUCACUGAGGUGUUUAGACUGGAUUGUCUAAAUCCUCGUUUUGCAGAACCGUUGCCGAAAUGUCCCGUGAAACUCGCUAGGUGUUAGUAGAGUUUGGGCAGAUGUUUAUCUGUCAAACAUCAACUUUUUAGUUUUUGUGAACCGCUCGCGGUUAGGCAACGAGGUGACAAGGCUGUGUCUGCCCUGGUAUGUCACUUGUGUUACUGCUGUGGAUGUCAGCGAGGUCCACACAGGGCACAAGUUUAGUUUCUUUCCCAAGGCACAGAAACUCUUGUCACCUACAGUUCUUUGUAGAGUCAAGAAACAUUUAAGUCUACUCGACUUUAAAGAGUCUGGCGAUUGAUGGCACGCUAGCCCAAUCCCUAACGACUUUUUUGUUUUGUUUAAUCCCCACUAGCCAUUAUCUAAAUAUUUUGAUAUUGUUGUCCUGUCACACCUAAGAUGUCCAUGUUGGAUUUUUUUCUGUUUGUUAUCGAAAACUGGAUAAUCUUAUCCAGGUUUCUCUUUUGCGCGGAGGCUUUGUAGCGUUUGAAAAAACUCCAACAUUAAUUUAAAAUCCCAAUUCCCAAAAAAAUGUCUAUUUUCCAAUUUAUUUUGUGAGUUUGUAUAUCAUUAGAGUAUUUUAAAGCCGUCCCUGUAUACAGUAUUUAGGUAUUGCACAAUGGUAUGCAAUAGUAAGAAGUGCUGACGUUUUGAUGCGUAAAAGAACCUUCUAGAAUAAAGUUCCGAGUUUUGUCAAGUCAGCGCCCCUAAGGUUCAAAAUCGCUUGGUACCUAUGUGGUACUUUUCCCCGAUCUGUGGCUUCAGACAGAAGCGCAGAUCAGUCCGGUUUGAUUUCUUCAAGCGUGAAGAUCGCUUGCCGACUCACCCCAAAAGGGCGUGGUGCCUUUUGUUACCCGCCGGUAAAGGGUAUAGUAUGUCGUUCUGGAAGAUCUAGUGUGAGGGCACGAUGUUUUUUUUACCCCGUAGUGAAGUUGGGUGCUCUUACACUGUGUUUGAGUUGUGACGCAGUACUAUACGCCGGCGUGGUAUGAAGUCCCUGUAUCUUGUCCAAGUUCCUGUUUAAAUGAAGUCUUCCGAGUCCCGAUUGAUGUCCUGAUGUAGACAUUUUGAGUUCCAGUCCCGUGAUGUUUAUCCAGUUGAUUGCCCCGAAAUAAAAAGGAAGCCAUGAAGCCCACCUCAGGUCGAUGACCCUGUUUGUUUGUAGAUGAACCCCCUUUCCGUGUAGUUUGUGACGUGUGAUAAAGGAUUUUGUUUAAAUAUGGUAUGAUAUAUUUUUUUAAAUUUUGCAAGGAUCCCAAAUGGAUAAAUAUUUUUGUUGGUAAAGAGUUUUGAAAAAUAAUAGUUGUUUGUGCUUUCAUGAUGCAACUUGUAAAUUAAAAUGACAGUGACUUUGACUUUUGACAGCUGCGUCAAAAUUUUGUUUUGACAUACACUGUCCAACAAGUUCUUUUGUCAUUCUUUUGUUAUGUUAAAUUGAAGAUUUUUUUUGUAAUGUAAAAGAUUUGUAGAUAUUUUGUCCUGUAAAAUCAUUUCCUGUUAAAAGUUUUUUUGUUUGUUUAAAAAAAAACCACCGUAAAGUUUUAAAUAAAUGUUUGUGAAAGUGUA